Molecule: ribosomal RNA, 529 nt
Filed under: Mantidactylus zolitschka
Lineage: Eukaryota; Metazoa; Chordata; Amphibia; Anura; Mantellidae
Description: partial 16S ribosomal RNA
Rfam family: Bacterial large subunit ribosomal RNA
Source: RNAcentral
CAGCCUGCCCAGUGAUAAAUUUCAACGGCCACGGUACCCUAACCGUGCGAAGGUAGCAUAAUCACUUGUUCUUUAAAUAAGGACUCGUAUCAACGGCACCACGAGGGUUCCACUGUCUCCUUUCUCUAAUCAGUGAAACUAAUCUCCCCGUGAAGAAGCGGGGAUACUUCUAUAAGACGAGAAGACCCCAUGGAGCUUUAAACCCAAUUAUAUUCCUAAUUCCCUACAACCAUUUAAUCACUUAGGCCCCAUAUACUUGGUUUUAGGUUGGGGCGACCGCGGAGUACAACCUAACCUCCACGAUGAACGGAACAACCUCCUUAUCUAAGAACCACACCUCUAAGAAUUAGUACACUACCAUAAAAUGACCCAUUAUUGAUCAACGAACCAAGUUACCCUGGGGAUAACAGCGCAAUCCAUUUUAAGAGCCCCUAUCGCACAAAUGGGUUUACGACCUCGAUGUUGGAUCAGGAUAUCCCAGUGGUGCAGCAGCUACUAAAGGUUCGUUUGUUCGAACGAUGAAAAUCCU